CAGUGAUAAACUGGAGGAAGGUGGGGAUGACGUCAAGUCAUCAUGGCCCUUACGACCAGGGCUACACACGUGCUACAAUGGCGCAUACAAAGAGAAGCGACCUCGCGAGAGCAAGCGGACCUCAUAAAGUGCGUCGUAGUCCGGAUUGGAGUCUGCAACUCGACUCCAUGAAGUCGGAAUCGCUAGUAAUCGUGGAUCAGAAUGCCACGGUGAAUACGUUCCCGGGCCUUGUACACACCGCCCGUCACACCAUGGGAGUGGGUUGCAAAAGAA
This 273-nucleotide ribosomal RNA is filed under the name Salmonella enterica. RNAcentral's name for it is "partial 16S ribosomal RNA". It matches the Rfam family "Bacterial small subunit ribosomal RNA", at positions 1153 to 1425 of the family's 1533-position model. The record is from RNAcentral. Lineage: Bacteria; Pseudomonadati; Pseudomonadota; Gammaproteobacteria; Enterobacterales; Enterobacteriaceae. RNAcentral also lists the same sequence under 4 other names.